GAGCUUUUGGCUCGGGUUAUACCUGACGCUCACGUAUAAGACGAGCAAAAAGCUUGUUGGUCA
Panthera pardus (leopard) is the source of this 63-nucleotide microRNA precursor. Ensembl annotates it as microRNA 208a. Its record names the gene MIR208A. The record is from Ensembl. Lineage: Eukaryota; Metazoa; Chordata; Mammalia; Carnivora; Felidae.